AGUUUUAUAGUCUAAAAAAGAUUUAAAAUUGCAAAUUUUAAGUUAUAGUUAUUUAUUAAGACUU
This 64-nucleotide transfer RNA is filed under the name Cheumatopsyche infascia. RNAcentral's name for it is "tRNA-Cys". Lineage: Eukaryota; Metazoa; Arthropoda; Insecta; Trichoptera; Hydropsychidae. The record is from RNAcentral.